Molecule: ribosomal RNA, 486 nt
Filed under: uncultured bacterium
Lineage: Bacteria
Description: bacterial SSU rRNA
Rfam family: Bacterial small subunit ribosomal RNA
Source: RNAcentral
AGAGUUUGAUCAUGGCUCAGAAUCAACGCUGGCGGCGUGCCUCAGACAUGCAAGUCGAACGCGAAAGCCUCUCUCGAGAGGCAAGUAGAGUGGCGCACGGGUGAGUAACACGUAGGUUAUCUACCUCCGAGUGGGGAAUAACAUCGGGAAACCGAUGCUAAUACCGCAUAACACCGAAAGGUCAAAGCUUUAGUGCUUGGAGAGGAGCCUGCGGCAGAUUCGCUAGUUGGUAAGGGAAUGGCUUACCAAGGCGACGAUCUGUAUCCGGCCUGAGAGGGCGGUCGGACACACUGACACUGAAUAGCGGGUCAGACUCCUACGGGAGGCAGCAGUCGGGAAUUUUGGGCAAUGGGCGAAAGCCUGACCCAGCAACGCCGCGUGAAGGAUGAAGUCCCUCGGGAUGUAAACUUCGAAAGAAUAGGAAGAAUAAAUGACGGUACUAUUGUUAAGCCCCGGCUAACUCCGUGCCAGCAGCCGCGGGAAUUC